CACGUAGGGGGCAAGCGUUGUCCGGAAUUAUUGGGCGGAAAGAGCUCGUAGGUGGCCUGUCGCGUCGGCUGUGAAAACUCGGGGCUCAACUCCGAGCUUGCAGUCGAUACGGGCAGGCUAGAGUUCGGCAGGGGAGACUGGAAUUCCUGGUGUAGCGGUGAAAUGCGCAGAUAUCAGGAGGAACACCGGUGGCGAAGGCGGGUCUCUGGGCCGAUACUGACACUGAGGAGCGAAAGCGUGGGGAGCGAACAGG
RNAcentral lists this ribosomal RNA (253 nucleotides) under uncultured bacterium. RNAcentral describes it as "partial 16S ribosomal RNA". It matches the Rfam family "Bacterial small subunit ribosomal RNA", at positions 524 to 776 of the family's 1533-position model. The record is from RNAcentral.